This 465-nucleotide ribosomal RNA is filed under the name uncultured bacterium. RNAcentral describes it as "partial 16S ribosomal RNA". It matches the Rfam family "Bacterial small subunit ribosomal RNA", at positions 28 to 507 of the family's 1533-position model. The record is from RNAcentral.
GACGAACGCUGGCGGCGUGCUUAACACAUGCAAGUCGAACGGAAAGGCCCUGCUUGCAGGGUACUCGAGUGGCGAACGGGUGAGUAACACGUGGGUGAUCUGCCCUGCACUUCGGGAUAAGCCUGGGAAACUGGGUCUAAUACCGGAUAGGAGCCAUUUUUAGUGUGAUGGUUGGAAAGUUUUUUCGGUGUAGGAUGAGCUCGCGGCCUAUCAGCUUGUUGGUGGGGUAAUGGCCUAACAAGGCGGCGACGGGUAGCCGGCCUGAGAGGGUGGACGGGCACAGUGGGACUGAGAUACGGCCCAGACUCCUACGGGAGGCAGCAGUGGGGAAUAUUGCAAAAUGGGCGCAAGCCUGAUGCAGCGACGCCGCGUGGGGGAUGACGGCCUUCGGGUUGUAAACUCCUUUCGCUAGGGACGAAGCUUUUUGUGACGGUACCUAGAUAAGAAGCACCGGCUAACUACGUG